GUCGAGAAUAAUUCACAAUGGGGGAAACCCUGAUGGUGCAACGCCGCGUGGAGGAUGAAGGUCUUCGGAUUGUAAACUCCUGUCAUCUGGGAGUAAGACCUGACGGUGAAUAGCCGGCAGGGUUGAUAGUACCAGAAGAGGAAGGGACGGCUAACUUCGUGCCAGCAGCCGCGGUAAUACGAAGGUCCCAAGCGUUGUUCGGAAUCACUGGGCGUAAAGGGAGCGUAGGCGGCGUGGUAAGUCAGAUGUGAAAUCCCGGGGCUCAACCCCGGAACUGCAUCCGAUACGGCCAUGCUUGAGGGUUGGAGAGGUAGCUGGAAUUCUCGGUGUAGCAGUGAAAUGCGUGGAUAUCGAGAGGAACACUCGUGGCGAAGGCGAGCUACUGGACAACAUCUGACGCUGAGGCUCGAAGGCCAGGGGAGCAAAAGGGAUUAGAAACCCUGGUAGUCC
This 450-nucleotide ribosomal RNA is filed under the name uncultured bacterium. Its description in RNAcentral is "partial 16S ribosomal RNA". It matches the Rfam family "Bacterial small subunit ribosomal RNA", at positions 354 to 796 of the family's 1533-position model. The record is from RNAcentral.